AACGAGGAAUUCCUAGUAAACGCAAGUCAUCAGCUUGCAUUGAUUACGUCCCUGCCCUUUGUACACACCGCCCGUCGCUCCUACCGAUUCCGAGUGAUGAGGUGAACCCUCCGGACUGGCUCACCCUGGGAAGUUGAGUAAACCUUAUCACUUAGAGGAAGGAGAAGUCGUAACAAGGUAUCUGUAGGUGAACCUGCAGAUGGAUCAUUA
Molecule: ribosomal RNA, 210 nt
Filed under: Spirostomum caudatum
Lineage: Eukaryota; Ciliophora; Heterotrichea; Heterotrichida; Spirostomidae
Description: partial 18S ribosomal RNA
Rfam family: Eukaryotic small subunit ribosomal RNA
Source: RNAcentral